UAGCCUAAUAAAGCAUGUGAAUGUUACAACCCCACGAAUGUACCAGCCUAUCGCAUUAUCAGACUACUACAUUGAUUACCCGGAUGACGAGACGCUGACAUUCAAGGUCAAAGUAUGGGCAGAUGCGAUUGUUGUGCUUGUUCCAGAUGAAGGAUUUUCUUCCCUGUUCUAUGAAGUUGUUAUCGGUGGAGGUGGCAACUCUAGAGGUUUCAUACGUAAAAGGACGUUAUCUAAUUUAAAUACGAAAGUUAAUGUACUUGAAGAUAAUCAGCUUAAUGCUGAUGAGUACAGGUCGUUCUGGGUGAGCUGGAAAGGUGGUCAUAUUGAGGUUGGACGUGGACUUUCUGUCCGUAGUCUGUCUACACAAUACAUGGAAUGGGUUGACUCUAACCCUCUAGACAUCACUGCUGUGUAUGUAAAGAGUAUCGAUGUUGCCGAAUUUACGAUUUAUCGAAAGACAGAAAACCCAAGAAAAUACUCUGCCAAUGUAAAUAACAGAGCCAUUACUUCAUUGACACUUACAGUCGUUACCCGAUCAAGGUUAGAAUGCAGCAUUACCUGUCAUAAAGAAUUGAGCUGUAUAAAUUUUAAUUACAAAAGGUCCACUCGAUUGUGUGAAUUGAUGCAAGCCUCAAAGAUAAAUGCGAUAAUGAAAGAUCCGGAAUACAAUUUUUAUUUCUAAGACAUUGCCUCAUUCGGUAAAGUGAUUGAGGAACGCCUUUUGUCUUUUUUUAUGUCUAUUGAUUGUAAAAAUAUUUGUCAAUGCUAAAAAAGGUACACAUUAAAAGCACGUACUAUUUGAUUUGUUUUUGUUUUCUUUUACACCUUUAUCAUGUUUAUUUUAGGCAAUUGUUUUA
Molecule: long non-coding RNA, 857 nt
Organism: Mytilus californianus (California mussel)
Lineage: Eukaryota; Metazoa; Mollusca; Bivalvia; Mytilida; Mytilidae
Exons: 3
Source: RefSeq, a predicted model, not a curated record